GGAGAUCGGGACCCUAGUUACUACGCACACACAAUGCCGAUAAUCAUAGUUAAGAAAAGAAAAACAUGAUUAAGUUUUAACAAUAUUGAAUCUGAGAGUUGUAAACAUAAAAAGUAAACUCAUGAUUCUUUUUGGAUGCAGCAAAACUAGAACCUUCACUUUUGGACGCAGGCAAAACUAGAGCCUUCACUUUUGGACGCAGCAAAACAAGUUUGUCAAGGUUUACAAAACAGCAUAAAGAGACCUUCAGACUCUGAUUCCGAUCAGCUUGGUUCGUCCUACAAUUAUAUACUAACACAUGCUCCUUAUCCAAGCUUACU
This 320-nucleotide long non-coding RNA is filed under the name Malus domestica (apple). RNAcentral's name for it is "long non-coding RNA (MDOM_LNC011689)". Lineage: Eukaryota; Viridiplantae; Streptophyta; Magnoliopsida; Rosales; Rosaceae. The record is from RNAcentral.